GACGAACGCUUGCGGCGUGCUUAACACAUGCAAGUCGAACGGAAAGGCCCUGCUUUUGUGGGGUGCUCGAGUGGCGAACGGGUGAGUAACACGUGAGUAACCUGCCCUUGACUUUGGGAUAACUUCAGGAAACUGGGGCUAAUACCGGAUAGGAGCUCCUGCUGCAUGGUGGGGGUUGGAAAGUUUCGGCGGUUGGGGAUGGACUCGCGGCUUAUCAGCUUGUUGGUGGGGUAGUGGCUUACCAAGGCUUUGACGUGUAGCCGGCCUGAGAGGGUGACCGGCCACAUUGGGACUGAGAUACGGCCCAGACUCCUACGGGAGGCAGCAGUGGGGAAUAUUGCACAAUGGGCGGAAGCCUGAUGCAGCAACGCCGCGUGCGGGAUGACGGCCUUCGGGUUGUAAACCGCUUUCGCCUGUGACGAAGCGUGAGUGACGGUAAUGGGUAAAGAAGCACCGGCUAACUACGUGCCAGCAGCCGCGGUGAUACGUAGGGUGCGAGCGUUGUCCGGAUUUAUUGGGCGUAAAGGGCUCGUAGGUGGUUGAUCGCGUCGGAAGUGUAAUCUUGGGGCUUAACCCUGAGCGUGCUUUCGAUACGGGUUGACUUGAGGAAGGUAGGGGAGAAUGGAAUUCCUGGUGGAGCGGUGGAAUGCGCAGAUAUCAGGAGGAACACCAGUGGCGAAGGCGGUUCUCUGGGCCUUUCCUGACGCUGAGGAGCGAAAGCGUGGGGAGCGAACAGGCUUAGAUACCCUGGUAGUCCACGCUGUAAACGGUGGGUACUAGGUGUGGGGUCCAUUCCACGGGUUCCGUGCCGUAGCUAACGCUUUAAGUACCCCGCCUGGGGAGUACGGCCGCAAGGCUAAAACUCAAAGGAAUUGACGGGGCCCCGCACAAGCGGCGGAGCAUGCGGAUUAAUUCGAUGCAACGCGUAGAACCUUACCUGGGUUUGACAUGGAUCGGGAGUGCUCAGAGAUGGGUGUGCCUCUUUUGGGGUCGGUUCACAGGUGGUGCAUGGCUGUCGUCAGCUCGUGUCGUGAGAUGUUGGGUUAAGUCCCGCAACGAGCGCAACCCUUGUUCACUGUUGCCAGCACGUUAUGGUGGGGACUCAGUGGAGACCGCCGGGGUCAACUCGGAGGAAGGUGGGGAUGACGUCAAGUCAUCAUGCCCCUUAAGUCCAGGGCUUCACGCAUGCUACAAUGGCUGGUACAGAGAGUGGCGAGCCUGUGAGGGUGAGCGAAUCUCGGAAAGCCGGUCUCAGUUCGGAUUGGGGUCUGCAACUCGACCUCAUGAAGUCGGAGUCGCUAGUAAUCGCAGAUCAGCAACGCUGCGGCGAAUACGUUCCCGGGGCU
Molecule: ribosomal RNA, 1346 nt
Filed under: uncultured bacterium
Lineage: Bacteria
Description: partial 16S ribosomal RNA
Rfam family: Bacterial small subunit ribosomal RNA
Source: RNAcentral